RNAcentral lists this transfer RNA (72 nucleotides) under Cyanophage S-RIM12_W1_24_0910. RNAcentral's name for it is "tRNA-Val". It matches the Rfam family "tRNA". Rfam says of the family: Transfer RNA (tRNA) molecules are approximately 80 nucleotides in length. Their secondary structure includes four short double-helical elements and three loops (D, anti-codon, and T loops). Further hydrogen bonds mediate the characteristic L-shaped molecular structure. tRNAs have two regions of fundamental functional importance: the anti-codon, which is responsible for specific mRNA codon recognition, and the 3' end, to which the tRNAs corresponding amino acid is attached (by aminoacyl-tRNA synthetases). tRNAs cope with the degeneracy of the genetic code in two manners: having more than one tRNA (with a specific anti-codon) for a particular amino acid; and 'wobble' base-pairing, i.e. permitting non-standard base-pairing at the 3rd anti-codon position. Lineage: Duplodnaviria; Heunggongvirae; Uroviricota; Caudoviricetes; Pantevenvirales; Kyanoviridae. The record is from RNAcentral.
GCCCGAAUAGUUCAGCGGUAGAACACUUGAUUUACAUUCAAGUUGUCGGGGGUUCGAUCCCCUCUUCGGGCA